RNAcentral lists this ribosomal RNA (501 nucleotides) under uncultured bacterium. RNAcentral's name for it is "bacterial SSU rRNA". It matches the Rfam family "Bacterial small subunit ribosomal RNA", at positions 35 to 518 of the family's 1533-position model. The record is from RNAcentral.
CGAACGGCUGGCGGCGCGUUUAAGCAUGCAAGUCGAGCGGUAAGCCGGAGCAAUCCGGCCUAGAGCGGCGGACGGGUGAGUAACACGUGGAUAAUCUGGCCUACAGUUUGGGAUAGCCUGGUGAAAGUCAGGAUAAUACCGGAUACGACGGUUUGGUCACAAGACUGAAUCGGGAAAGGGGCUAAGGCCUCGCUGAAGGAUGAGUCCGCGUCCCAUUAGCUAGAUGGUGAGGUAAAGGCCCACCAUGGCGAUGAUGGGUAGCCGGCCUAAGAGGGUGAACGGCCACAUUGGGACUGAGAUACGGCCCAGACUCCUACGGGAGGCAGCAGCUAAGAAUCUUCCGCAAUGGUCGAAAGACUGACGGAGCGACGCCGCGUGAAUGAAUGAAGGCCGUGAGGUUGUAAAGUUCUUUUCUGGAGGGAGAAUAAGUGGUGUAGGGAAUGACACCAUGAUGACGUGAAUCCAGGAAUAAGCCCCGGCUAACUACGUGCCAGCCGCGGC